Long non-coding RNA from Osmia bicornis bicornis, 150 nucleotides. RefSeq lists it as uncharacterized. The record is from RefSeq and is a predicted model, not a curated record. NCBI's taxonomy places the organism in Eukaryota, Metazoa, Arthropoda, Insecta, Hymenoptera, Megachilidae. The transcript is spliced from 3 exons.
GGAAGAUCAGCUGGGAAUAAAAGCAAAAGAAGAAAUAGAUGGAACAUUUCACGCAACCACGACCUCAAAUUCGUUUAAUAAGCAAAGAUGGUGGAGAAACAAUCAAAUCAUCAAAUGAAGGCAAAAACCCUACGCCAGCCAACAGAAGUG